CCUACGGGUGGCAGCAGUGAGGAAUAUUGGUCAAUGGGCGGGAGCCUGAACCAGCCAAGUCGCGUGAGGGAAGACGGUCCUAUGGAUUGUAAACCUCUUUUGGCGGGGAGCACUGCCGGGCACGCGUGCCCGGCGUGAGAGUACCCGCAGAAUAAGCAUCGGCUAACUCCGUGCCAGCAGCCGCGGUAAUACGGGGGAUGCGAGCGUUAUCCGGAUUUAGUGGGUUUAACGGGUGCGUAGGCGGAUUUUUAAGUCAGCGGUAAAAUUUCCGGGCUCAACCCGUGCCCGCCGUUGAAACUGGGGAUCUUGAGUGGACGAGAAGUAUGCGGAAUGCGUGGUGUAGCGGUGAAAUGCAGAGAUAUCACGCAGAACUCCGAUUGCGAAGGCAGCAUACCGGCGCCCGACUGACGCUGAGGCACGAAAGCGUGGGGAUCGAACAGGAUUAGAUACCCUUGUAGUC
This 460-nucleotide ribosomal RNA is filed under the name uncultured bacterium. RNAcentral's name for it is "partial 16S ribosomal RNA". It matches the Rfam family "Bacterial small subunit ribosomal RNA", at positions 338 to 795 of the family's 1533-position model. The record is from RNAcentral.